Drosophila nasuta is the source of this 145-nucleotide small nucleolar RNA. RefSeq annotates it as small nucleolar RNA psi28S-1192. Lineage: Eukaryota; Metazoa; Arthropoda; Insecta; Diptera; Drosophilidae. The transcript has a single exon. The record is from RefSeq and is a predicted model, not a curated record.
CUUGUGUCCAGUCUAAUUCUAUGUCAUGUCACUUGGAUAUUGGCGUAGACUCGCUUUUGGACAAUAGAAAUUCAAUGUCUUUUAUUAUCCUUGUGCUUGUUGUGCAACUCCUCGGCUUGCACACGAGAAACGUAGAAGAACAAUA